UUCGGUCAAUGGAAGCUUUGACUUAGUGGCGGACGGGUGAGUAACGCGUGAGGAACCUGCCUUUCAGUGGGGGACAACAGUUGGAAACGACUGCUAAUACCGCAUGACACAUAGGUGUCGCAUGGCACUUAUGUCAAAGAUUUAUCGCUGAAAGAUGGCCUCGCGUCUGAUUAGCUAGUUGGUGAGGUAACGGCUCACCAAGUCGACGAUCGGUAGCCGGACUGAGAGGUUGAACGGCCACAUUGGGACCGAGACACGGCCCAGACUCC
Molecule: ribosomal RNA, 269 nt
Filed under: uncultured Oscillospiraceae bacterium
Lineage: Bacteria; Bacillati; Bacillota; Clostridia; Eubacteriales; Oscillospiraceae
Description: partial 16S ribosomal RNA
Rfam family: Bacterial small subunit ribosomal RNA
Source: RNAcentral